UCAGGAUAGCUCAGCUGGUAGAGCAGAGGACUGAAAAUUCUCGUGUCGCCAGUUCAAAUCUGGUUCCUG
This 69-nucleotide transfer RNA is filed under the name Rhododendron aureum. RNAcentral's name for it is "tRNA-Phe". It matches the Rfam family "tRNA". Rfam says of the family: Transfer RNA (tRNA) molecules are approximately 80 nucleotides in length. The record is from RNAcentral. Lineage: Eukaryota; Viridiplantae; Streptophyta; Magnoliopsida; Ericales; Ericaceae. RNAcentral also lists the same sequence under 1 other name.